Molecule: long non-coding RNA, 551 nt
Filed under: Anas platyrhynchos platyrhynchos (common mallard)
Lineage: Eukaryota; Metazoa; Chordata; Aves; Anseriformes; Anatidae
Description: lncRNA (ENSAPLG00000023623.1)
Source: RNAcentral
GUGUUGUACACAGAAUCGGAAUUGCCUCUUGAAGAAAUUGCCUUGUAAGGGAGAAGAAAGUGGGGUCAGAAAUAGGAGACGGGGACAGCAUGCGCAUGGGGACCCAAUCCAUUGCUUUUUGACGUCAAUAGCACUGUGGCUUUUUUCAAGGGCAUGCAUAUAUCUUGUCAAUGUGGCUUAACAAGCCUGCAUCACUUCUCUGCUGUGGUCUUGCACAGUGUAGCAGGCUUCAGGAAGCACUGUACUUUGUGGCCAAGCAGACUUAGCAUAAAGGAAGGAAGGUGGAUAAAAUAUGUGAAUUUCAAGAGAAAAGACUUCAGAGACUCAUGUCAAAAAUGGUAAUGCUAUAGGAUACAGUGAGAAAUUAGAAAGUCAUAGAAGCCCCCAGUUCAGUAUGAGAAGGAUCUUACUGUCCGUUCCCUUCCUGUCAUAGGUGCAUUAUUUGAUAAGUAAUGUUGAAAAGUAAGGAGAGACUCUGUCUCAGGACCUUGGCUUUUUGUAUAAGUGGAACCAGAAAUAAAUAUGGGGAAAAGUGGAAGAGUGAUGUAUUC